Molecule: small RNA, 734 nt
Filed under: Pongo abelii (Sumatran orangutan)
Lineage: Eukaryota; Metazoa; Chordata; Mammalia; Primates; Hominidae
Description: processed transcript
Source: RNAcentral
ACAGCUGGCCAAACCAUGACAACUGGUUUGUACGCAGUCCUUGUGAAAAGGAUGAAAGCGUCCUAGACAACCAAAUUAAUUCGCUCUUCAAAAACGGUGCUAGACAAAGUCCAUGACUCUAGAGGGCACUGAAGAGAAAAAAGCACAACUAUUCUACUGUGGCAGGGGCAUGAAUAAACCUUAAGAAUGCUGUUCCUUUAAAGACCAAUACAAAAGCAGCAUACUGCUGUUCCACGGCCUCGAAGCGUAGAGGGGGUGAAGCUGACAGACCCUAUCCAGAGAACCCGCCACCGGGACCCGGCGUCUGAAGGUCCCGAGCCCCGCCGACAGCCCAGACCCAGUCCGGGCUAGCCCGAGGCCUCCCUGGAGGUGGACGGUUUCAAUCCACAGAUACUGGGACCCCAGGGAGACACUCACCAGCCUCCGAACCUGCCAUGUCUCGAAGGCAGGUCGCCGCCGGACUCCGACGCGGCCGGGCAGGCGACGGUGUCCUGGAAGGGCCGAUCCACGCAGACCCGACGCUGGGGCGCGGGCGCACGAACCAAAGCGCAGGGAAGGAGGAGUGAAAGAGGGAGGGACGUUAAAAGAGCUUCUCGCCGCUGAUUGGUCAUCAGAGGAGCACUUCCUUUCACAGCACGUGCCACGGAGGCGGUUUGGGAAGUUUAGAGACCAUUCUCCGCCGACCAAAACCCGUCAGAGGAUUAUCAGACCCGCGGGUCGGACGGUCCAAAUCA